AAAGGUUUUUGUUGUUGGUUUUGUUGGCAAGAAAAUGGUUGGCAGGUUAUGUGCCGAACCUGAGGAAAAAUGUGUAAAAGUGCAUGUGACUAAAACCAGAAAAAAUAGAUCUCAGUGAAGUGGUUGGCGAAGUCCGUUGCAUAUAUCGUAUUUUGCACCUAUGCCGUCCACUUAACCUACGCAAUAGAUGGUUGUCCACUUCCACGUCCUCCCAUACCAAGUGCCGUUUUCCAGAUUAGGAUUCGGCACUUAGUCAUAUUUUAUAUAAAACCCGGUAUUAAACUGAAUUUAAUCCCCCAGCCGUAAUUUAUAUAA
Molecule: long non-coding RNA, 315 nt
Organism: Drosophila sulfurigaster albostrigata
Lineage: Eukaryota; Metazoa; Arthropoda; Insecta; Diptera; Drosophilidae
Exons: 3
Source: RefSeq, a predicted model, not a curated record